AGUGAACGCUGGCGGUAGGCCUAACACAUGCAAGUCGAACGGCAGCACAGUAAGAGCUUGCUCUUACGGUUGGCGAGUGGCGGACGGGUGAGGAAUACAUCGGAAUCUACUUUUUCGUGGGGGAUAACGUAGGGAAACUUACGCUAAUACCGCAUACGAUCUACGGGUGAAAGCAGGGGAUCUUCGGAGCUUUCGCGAUUGAAUGAGCCGAUGUCGGAUUAGCUAGUUGGCGGGGUAAAGGCCCACCAAGGCGACGAUGCGUAGCUGGUCUGAGAGGAUGAUCAGCCACACUGGAACUGAGACACGGUCCAGACUCCUACGGGAGGCAGCAGUAGGGAAUAUUGGACAAUGGGCGCAAGCCUGAUCCAGCCAUACCGCGUGAGUGAAGAAGGCCUUCGGGUUGUAAAGCCCUUUUGUUGGGAAAGAAAAGCAGCAGGUUAAUACCCCGCUGUUCUGACGGUACCCAAAGAAUAAGCACCGGCUAACUUCGUG
This 492-nucleotide ribosomal RNA is filed under the name uncultured bacterium. RNAcentral's name for it is "partial 16S ribosomal RNA". It matches the Rfam family "Bacterial small subunit ribosomal RNA", at positions 29 to 507 of the family's 1533-position model. The record is from RNAcentral.